This 174-nucleotide unclassified non-coding RNA is filed under the name uncultured fungus. RNAcentral's name for it is "sequence contains ITS1, 5.8S rRNA gene". The record is from RNAcentral. RNAcentral also lists the same sequence under 1 other name. Lineage: Eukaryota; Fungi.
CUGAGUGAGGGCCCCUCGGGGUCCAACCUCCCACCCGUGUUUAACGAACCUUGUUGCUUCGGCGGGCCCGCCUCACGGCCGCCGGGGGGCAUCUGCCCCCGGGCCCGCGCCCGCCGAAGCCACCUGUGAACGCUGUCUGAAGUAUGCAGUCUGAGACAAUUAUUAAAUUAAUUA